AAAACCGGGUCAAAAACCCGGUCGCCGUAAGCCCAAGGUUUCCUGGGGAAGGAUAAGCCUCCCAUGGGUUAGUCGGAACCUAAGCUGAGGCCGAAUGGCGUAGGCGAUGGCAAGCAGGUUAAUAUUCCUGCACCAUGAUGGUGAAUUGUCGUAGCGAGGACGGAGAAGGGUAUGCUUCGCCAGACGGUGGACGUUCUGGUUCAAGCGUGUAGGCAGACUGCGUAGGACGCGACAGCGACAAACGCGUGGCCAUCAUGCCGAGACGUGAGGAGGAGGGCUUUCGGGCCCGGAACGAAGUGAUCCCAGGCUUCCAAGAAAAGUCGCGACGAGUCGCACUAUCGUGUCCGUACCGCAAACCGACUCAGGUGGGCGGGAAGAGUAUUCCAAGGCGCGUGAGAGAACCCUGGUUAAGGAACUAGGCAAACUGGCCCCGUAACUUCGGGAGAAGGGGCGCCGGCGGGUGUGUAGAGAUUCACUCUCGAAGCACUUGUUGGCCGCAGUGACCUGGGGGUUGCGACUGUUUACUAAAAACACAGGACUCUGCGAAGUCGGAAGACGACGUAUAGGGUCUGACGCCUGCCCGGUGCUGGAAGGUUAAGGGGAGAAGUUAGGGCAACCGAAGCUUCGAACCGAAGCCCCAGUAAACGGCGGCCGUAACAAUAACGGUCCUAAGGUAGCGAAAUUCCUUGUCGGGUAAGUGCCGACCUGCACGAAGGGCGUAACGACAUCCCCGCUGUCUCGACCAGGGACUCAGCGAAAUUGUCCUGGGGGUGAUAUACCCUCUACCCGCGGCAAGACGGAAAGACCCCAUGAACCUUUACUGUAACUUGACAGUGAGUUUCGGGAUGUUCUGCGUAGGAUAGGUGGGAGACGGUGAGAGCGGGGUUCUGGCCUCGCUGGAGUCACCCUUGAAAUACCACCCUGGACAUUCUGGGAUUCUAACCCAGGCCCGCAAUCCGGGUCGGGGACACUGUCUGGUGGGCAGUUUGACUGGGGCGGUCGCCUCCCAAAAAGUAACGGAGGCGCACGAAGGUCACCUCAGGCUGAUUGGAAACCAGCCGUAGAGUGUAAAGGCAUAAGGUGGCUUGACUGCGAGACCGACAGGUCGAGCAGGUGCGAAAGCAGGUCUUAGUGAUCCGGUGGUCCCGCAUGGAAGGGCCAUCGCUCAUCGGAUAAAAGGUACUCUGGGGAUAACAGGCUGAUCACGCCUGAGAGUUCACAUCGGCGGCGUGGUUUGGCACCUCGAUGUCGGCCCAUCGCAUCCUGGGGCUGGAGCAGGUCCCAAGGGUUCGGCUGUUCGCCGAUUAAAGCGUACGCGAGCUGGGUUUAGAACGUCGUGAGACAGUUCGGUCCCUAUCUGCCGUGGGCGCAGGAGACUUGAGAGGCCCUGCCCAUAGUACGAGAGGACCUGGGUGGACGGACCUCUAGUGAUCCGGUUGUCGUACCAACGGCACCGCCGGGUAGCUAUGUCCGGAAGGGAUAAUCGCUGAAAGCAUCUAAGCGAGAAGCCUACCUCAAGAUCAGGUCUCCCUAUCAGGCUCCUUGUAGACCACAAGGUUAAUAGGCCGGGUGUGAAUGCGCUGUAAGGCGCGGAGCUAACCGGUACUACUCAGCCGAUCGGCUUGCCG
This 1628-nucleotide ribosomal RNA is filed under the name metagenome. RNAcentral describes it as "bacterial LSU rRNA". It matches the Rfam family "Bacterial large subunit ribosomal RNA", at positions 1313 to 2925 of the family's 2925-position model. The record is from RNAcentral.